GACAGGAAAACUGCAUGAACGGAACUGGGGAAUCUGGUAGACAGAGAAAGGGGGAGAGUACUGACACGAUAUGGGAUUGCAACCAAUGUCAUGAAACAAUUUGUGCAUAGAUUUUUGAACGAGAAACUAACUUGCUCUGUAAGCUUUCACUUAAAGUGCACACACAGACACACACACCGAGACACACAAAUUACAGCCAAGAAAACCCGAUAGAGCUCAGUUCUACUCUGUAACGCACGGGGUGGCCAUGAGCAGGAUUCAGCUUGAAAGCAAUAAAACGUUUUAGGUUUUUUUUGUGUGUGGGGGGGGGGUGGUGGUUUCAACCUCAGAUUCCUCAUCUACAAAUAAGGGAGUAAUAAUACCUGCCGGCUGCGAAGUCGGGUGAGGGAGAAAUGGUGGCAGCUUGUUUACGAUAGAUACAAUAGCUGCCGAGAAAAGCUUCUCUUACUUCCGCCCUUAAAGAGCUUAGGGGCUAACAGAUAAGAGCAGGUUCUGCGAUAACCAUCGCCAAUGGAGACUGGAAUACGAGUGGAACUAGCCGUGUGAAGCGUGCCAAGGCUGCCUUUUGUGGCUGGUUGCAUCUGAAACAGUUGCAGUCUUCCAACAAGGGCCUAUUCCCCUGAGAUAGGCCCACACUGGUUCAUGCACGGGGGAAAGGUAUUCAAAGUCCACGGACCGUUUAUGCCUGGACAGGAGCUGCUUCUGUCCUGAGCUCCCAGGCUUUGUUGUAAGAGGUUUCACCGGAAGCAUGUGACUACUGUGCCAUCUUGGCCCCGCCAAGCUUUAGCUUGGUGCAAAUCAACAAACAUGUUUCAGGAGGAAGAAAAGUUAUUUAGGAACCUGACAGCAGUUGAAGAUGGCUGGAGUGUAGAGUGCAAGGUGUUCUCUGUUGAGAAGAGGUUUCCCAUGUGUUGGAGAUACGUAUCUGUCAUGGAUUGAAUUAUGUCACCCCAAAAUGUGUGUAUUAGUUUGGCUGGGCCAUGAUUACCAGUGUUGUGUGACUUUCCUUGUUGUAAACCCUGCCUCUGUGAUGUUAAUGAGGGAGGAUGGGCGGCAGUUGUGUUAGUGAGGCAGGACUCAAUCUACAAGACUAGAUUGUGUCUUGAGGCAAUCUCUUGAGAUAUAAAAGGGAUUAGCUAGCAGAGGGAUGGAGGACCCCAUACCACCAAGAAAGCAGUGCUGGGAGCAGAGCGCAUCCUUCAGACCUGAGGUCCCUGCGCAGAGAGGGGGAAGAUUGACGAGAACGCCUACAGAGACAAAGCCUUCCCCUGGAGCUGACACCCUGAAUUUGGACAUUUAAGCUUCUUUACCAGGAGGAAAUAAACUUCUCUUUGUUAAAGCUAUCCAUUUGUGGUAUUUCUGUUACAGCAGCACUAGACGACUAAGACAGCAUCUUUGAACAAUACUUAGCUGAUCUGUAUGAAAAUGAUCAGAAGUGGAAUGUACAUAAGACAGGGAGCAAAGGCCCUGAGACUGGAGGGUGCCUGUUUGAGAAACAGCGAAAAGACUGGUGUGGUUAGAGGAGAAGCAAGUAAAAGAGAAAUAGAGGAUACUACCAGGGAUUUUUUUUUUAUCAGGGAGGUAAUAGGGGUUUGGGUGUGGAACUUAGGAACUUAUUAAGACAAGGAACGGAGUGGCCCCCAAAUCUGUAAACAAAGAAAUAAGAACAGAGCCAGGGCCCAGAAACAAAGCCAUUCCCCAGAACAAUGGGGCAGGGCAUCUAAAAAUAGCCAGCAAACUUCUUUAAAGUUGCCUUUCAGAGGCAGCUGGAGAAAACCAGGCCCAGGGACAUGGGCAGAACAUCCACCCGUGACCACCGUGUGACCUUCCACCAGGGGCAGUGAGGGGUUACAGCUCCAGCUGGGGAAUCGAACCAGGGGAGUGAGAGACUGCACAAGCGCAACACCCUAUAAUAAGUCCUGCUACGAAUCCCAGGGGCCUCCAGGACAGGAGCCAUCUUGGAGAGCUGCUGCGUGUACACCUUAGUUAACAUAUCCCCGCCUGUGUCUAUGAAUAAACAUGAAUCUUUUCAAGCCCAAGAACUUUUAAAAACUCAGGCCCAUCUUCAGUUCUGUGAGAUGAGGGUAAGCAUUGCUCUAGGCCCUCCUCGUCUCCGCUUGCAAGCCUCUUCAAUAAAGCUUUGCUCAUGUGGCAAACUACAUGCCUUACCUUCUCAUUCUUGACCAGAAAGAGGCAAGAAUCUUAUUCCGGUAACAUACAGACAAAUUGAAAUAUCGAGCUAUACUUAUUUCACUGAAAAUAAGUUGAUCAAACUUUAUCAUUUAUUAAGUUUAUUCAUUCUUCACAUGUUGUUUUUGGCAUAAUACGGUAGGUUGCCCUUUCUUGUGUUAACAUAUUUUGAGAUGUGACGCGCUAAAGAUGGAUUAAACUGAGCAACAAGGUCAAGUAAACCCCCCAAAAUUUCCAUUUUGUGGGGAACCAAAUGCUUUGUUUCUUCCUAAAAAAGAUAGUCCACCUUCAUCGAUUGUUACAAAUGACAGCAAUAAUGCACUGCAAAAAGGCUUUCUAAUACUGACGUUCUUCAUUAAUUUGUGUUUUUGGUUCAUGAGGUAAGCCAAAACUAUGUCUUCUGCUUAAAUAUGACACCAAUACAAUCUCUGUGAAUUAAACUGUUUUCAUGUUUAUCAUAUUCAAGUUGCACCAAUUUCUAAGUCCAUUGGAAAUCCUGGUGGUGUUGUGGUUAAGUGCUACUGUUGCUGGCCGAAAGGUCUGCAGUUCGAAUCCAUCAGGCGCUCCUUGGAAACUCUAUGGGGCAGUUCUAUUCUGCCCUAUAGCAUCGCUAUGAGUUGAAAUCGACUUGAUGGCAAAGGGUAUCCAUAGCAAACUGAGAAUUAAAUGACUCAGGGCUAAACAGUUUGCAAACAAAACAAUAUACAGAGCUGACGGAGAAUAUAGUAGCUGCUUCCUUGUAUAAUUUUCACCAUUAGCAUUGCACCCUAGAAAUGUAUUCUGGCUAUAGACCCUUGUUUGUUUACCAUCCAGAAAUUUUCUACAUGAAUUUUCAAAUGGUCCACUGUGAUGUUGACAAUCACUUGGCCCUCUUUUUUGAUCCAAUAAUUUAUAUCAUUACCAGAAAUACUAUUCCACAAAACAGGAUCUGUAUUUCUGUUAUUUAUGGGGUCUGCAAAUGUGACAAUUUCAGAUUCUAAAAUAGUUUAAUUUUCUAUGCCAUUAUUAAUUUUUUUAUUAUAGCAAGGGAUGGAUGCAGAAUUUGGAACAAAUUCUGUUAUAUUCAUAUUGCUAUUAGUAAUUUCAGCACUAGCAGUACUAGUACAACAAUUUGUACCCAUUAAACCCAAGCGUUCAAUGGAAGAAGUGUCUUCUCAUUCAUUAUGUUUAAUUUUGGAAUUGUCUUUAGGAAUUCACAUAUCCUUUUCUUUUUAUCUUCUGUGAGCUUUCAUUUUUGUGUUCCACUUAGUUGUAGCCAUUUUAUGUUACCUGGAUAUAAAAUUAUGUCACCUUUUAAAUUUGGUUCUACUGUAGCAAAUAUAAGACAGAAAACAGAGGGCCCCCCCAAAUCUGCAAACAAAGUAAAAAGAAAUAGGCCAGGGUACGGAAACAAAGCCAUUCCCCAGACCAAUGGGACAAGGUAUCAGAAACUAGCCUGCAAACUUCUUUAAAGUUGUCUUUCAGAAACAGCUGGAGAAAACCAGCCCCAGGGACCAGAACACACACCUGUGACCCCUGUGUGACCAUCCACCAGGGGCAGUGAGGGGCAGCAGCAGCAGCCGGGAGACUGCGCAGGCGCAACACCCCAUAAUAAGUUCUGCUACAAAUCCCAGAGGCCUCUGGGACAGGCGCCAUCUUAGAAAGCUGCUGCACACACACCUUAGUUAACAUAUCCCCACCUGUGCCUAUGAAUAAACAUGAAUCUUUUCCCACCCAAGAGCUUUUAAAAACCCAGGCCCAUCUUUUGUUCUGUGAGACAGGGGUAUGUUUUGCUUAGGCCCUCCUCGUCUCUGCUUGCAAGCCUCUUCAAUAAAGCUUUGCUCGUGUGGAAAACUCUACGUGACUUACUUGCUCAUUCUUGACCAGUGAGAGGCAAGAACCUUAUUCUGGUAACAAAUACAUUGAAUAAUCGAAAAAAAAAUUAUAAAGUAAAAAUUACAUUCAAAUUUGGAUGUUAACACAAAAGUUAUAUUUGAAAAUUAGAAAGUAAAAAAAUUGACUUGGAACAUGUAAUUUUGUUCUUCGGGUCUAUAAAGUAUAUUAAGAACUAUAAAGUUCUUAAUACACUUUACAGUCAAUGGAGCCAAUCCAGAAUCACACAUUGAACCCAGUUGUCACUGCUCUCUAGUCUCCUUUAACCUGGAGCACUUCCUUGGCCUUUCCCUGACUUUUCUAAAAUUGGCACUUUUUAAGAUUACAGAGCAGUCAGUUUGAGGAAUGUCUCCCUAUCUGGGUUUGUAAAAACUGCUUAAGGGUGGUGUCUGACCUCCUUUCACUUCACAAAGGGGAAGGAGAAUCAAGAUCAACAACCCAAGGAUGAUUUCCAUGAGGUGGAGGUCAGACAUGCCUCCUCUCUCUGCUAUCUUUACUAGUUCUGAAACCAACUAUCCCUCCCACAGCGCUCUACUUCUCUGCUUGGUUCGAUAAUUCAUUGCAAUGGCCUCACAGAACUCACAGACAAUACUCACAAUUAUGGGGUUUAUUAGGGAAGUAACAAUUACAGUUCAGGCUCAGGAACACUCAGGAUACAGCUCUUCCUUCAGGAUAGCCUCUUCCUAGCCAUGCUUGCAGGCAUCCCUCUCCCUGGCCCUGGCCCUAGCCCUAAAAGGCCUCUGCCCAAAGGCACUCAGUGUUCACUCUCCGUGGGCCAGGAAGCCCAACACGUAGUCUCCUGCUGCUGGGUCUCUACUUUCGGUCUCUCCUGCCACCACUUCUCACUGCCCUCAGUGUUACAGCUCUCUCUCCCUCUCCGCCUCUUGGUUCCAGGAGCUUCUCAGUGGAGGGAUCGUGGGUCCAAAGGAUGUGCUGGCUCUUCUUCCUAGGUGGUGGUAGGCUCCUCUGUGGCUCAUUUCAAACCCAGCGGGAUGGCAAAACCAACCAAUUCCUUUGGUGGGCCACAAUUACCCUAUCACACAGUUCCACCCAAUCACUUGAGUGGGAAUUACAAGACCAUGGCGAGAAAGACCACACGAAAGUGAUCCAUCACACGACAGGAUUUGUCCAAGGUUUUCCCAUGAUUACAUUCAGGUUUUGUAUUUUGGCCAGAAUAUCAUAGAGGUGAUGAUAAGUUCUUCUUGUUGCAUUCUGUCAGGUUGUACAUGAACUUAAUGUGUCCCAUUACUGGUGGUUGUAAAAGGGUGUUAGUAGUAAUGUCCGAACUUGUUUAAGACCAGGGAGAUAAUAACCAGGAUCAGCCCAAAGCUGAUUCCCGUGAGGUGGUGGUCAGAUAUACCUCUGCCCUCCAACCUCUUUUUUUUCUUUUUAACAAUUCUGACACCAGCUGUCCCUCCCAUGACACUCUCUACUUCUCUUCUGGUUUUAGUAAUCUGUUGCAACGGCCACACAGAAUUCACAAACCAUACCUAUAGUGAAGUGGUUUAAUAAGGAAGUAACAGGGUACAAUUUGGGAUCAGGAUCAAUAGGUUACAAGUCGGGAUCAGGGUCAGGAAGCAGGUAGGCAAAGUCUCCCUUCUUCAGUGCAGGCCAACUCUCUCAGCAACUCUCUUGGCUGUGCAGUGUUCCUCUCAGCCCCCUGAGGACAAGCUCCUCUUGGCCCCCUCAGGAAGGGCUGCUCUUGGCCCUGCUGUCCAUCACCACCAACUCUACCACAGGACCCCUCCCAGGCCUGUCUUCACCAUCUCUGCUGUCGGGCCCCUUUUGGGUCUCUUGCUGUCUUCAAUAUUACAGCCCUUGAUGCACGGUAUGGCUCUUUUAGGAGCUGCUUCUUCUCGCUUUCUUCCUUUUGCUUCUUCCUGCUCUUCCUGCUUCUUUCUGUCUCUAAAACCUCUGUGAGGUUGGCCGCUUAUAUACACAAACUCUUGAUCAAUUUCAAGGUAUGGUCUCCUUCAGCAGGGGGCCACGAACUCCCCUCUUGGUAGGCCACAGAUACUUAAUUUGCAUAGUAGGCUACAGACUUGUCAUUUGCAUAGUCUAUUGACCAAUCCCUGGAAGGUAUAUACCAACCACAGGGCAAGCUGCAGUCAAGGAAAAGUUGAUCACCAUGGACAGUUUAUCCAAGAAAAGUCAAUCACCAUGGACAAGGUAACAAACCCUCAGGGGCAGAAAACUAGGGGAAAGGUAACUCUUCAGGGCUUAGGGGGAAAAUUUCUCAAAAUGUUUUUCCAAAGAACCAAAGCAAAAGGCCACAUACAGAAACUCAUUUCACCACAGUGGUGUUAACUUUGAUCACUUGGUUAAUAUGGACUUUGUCAGGUUUUUUCUCUGUAAAGUUACUUUUUUCUCCCUUUGUAAGGAAUACGUAUGUUGUGGGGAGAUACUUUGAAAUUGUGUGAAAUUCCAGUCCUUAUCUGACUUUUACCCACUAGAUUUAGGAUCCUCUGAUAUUUCUACCUGAGAUUAUCAUAACUAUGAUGGUUGCCAGAUGGUGAAUUUUCUAAAUUAAUUUUUUUCUUACAUUUGUAAGUUGACGUUCAGUUGUAAAGAAAUCUUUCUCUUCUCUGCAUUUGUUUAUCCACUGAUUUAUUUAUAUCAGUAUUGACUCAUGCAUUCCUGUUUUAAUGAAUGGGUUAUAAUCCAUUGUUGGCAUUAUUUACUAUUUAUUUACUUACCAUUAUUUAUUUCGAUGCUUAAAUUAUCCCAAUAUUGUCAGUUGGAGCUCCUGCAAGGUGACUUCUGUAUCCUUUUAACACGUCCCCAUUCAUUCAUUGAGAAUCUUCUGGCACAAUAUAAUGUUCCAGGCUUGUCCUGUUCUGUACCUGCCCUGGCCCUGUAAUCAACCAUUUCCUCCAAGGAGCCCUGGUUCCUUUAGUGGAGAAUGGUACUUAGAAACCAAGAUCUGGGCUCUGUGUGUAUUCAUUCCUGCUGGGGUGUCAGUCCUACUAGACCCUUUCAGCAGAUCAGACUAGGAGAUAUAUGUACGUCCUUAAAAUCCCAUUGCUGUUGAGUCAGUUCUGCCCCAUAGUGACUCUAUAGGACACAGUAGAACUGCCCCAUAGGGUUUCCAAGGAGUGGCUGGUGGAUUUAAACUGUAGACCUUUUGGUUAGCAGCCAAGCUCUUUAACAACUACACCACCAGGGCCCCAAAAAACAGAAUGUUGCAUUGGCUGGGAAUCGAACCCAGGCCUUCCUUGUGGCAGGUGAGAAUUCUGUAUGUAUUACAUUUUCAUCUACAUUUAUUUCUAUAUUUAUGUAUAUAUUUUGUGAGCUGUGGGUUCACACUAACACCUCCCACUCCAGUACAAUACCACAGGGUCCACUCUAGCCCUUACUCUUUGCAUAUUUGUACCUCUGUUCUCCAACAGUGAGAAACCUGGCUCCCAUUGCUCUCAACAUGUCUACUGAUUUGCUCAAUUUCCCUAUGUAGUCAAUCUCCUGAUUGCUAAAGGUCAUUUCCCUACAGGCCCAGAGGAAAACUCUCCUCAUGGGAUCCCUAACCCCUGCUGGCUGCCUUCUACCACCCCCAAACCCUCCUUGUGCAGCCCCCAUUUCUGCCCUGCUGUCUUCCUUCUCCAUUUACUUUUCACAUGUUAAAAACAUUUACUGUCUUCCUCUGGGAAACCUUCCAUUGCUGUGCUUUAAACACAUAAAAACACACAAGCCUUUGUGUUUUUAUUUCAGGGUACUCAAUUCCAUUUCUCAGUGACAAUCACUUGUGAUAGAAUGAGUUGUUUUUUUGUUUUUCUGCUUUUUUCCAUGUUCCUGAGAUUUAAGGCUGAAGUAUACAUAUUUUGAAAUUAGCAUUAUAGCAUGUUUUCUUCUUUCUCUUAAUUUUAAAAGCAGAUGAUCUGCAGCACAGUGUAAUCACUUACUAAAAGGUGAUUAAUUAGAGCUUUUUGCAGUUCUCCUGGAAAACUAAGUAACUGAUUAAUAUACUGUGGCCUUCAAUGGUCUUUUCUUCCACUGGGUCUUUUCUCCCAUUGGAGUCCUAUUCAUGGAAAAGGGCUCUGCCUUUGAUCAAGACCCAUGUGACAUGUAGUGUCCCACCCACUUUUUCUGUCUCUUGGGUUUCUCUGGCUUUGCUAAAAGUAUGUGCUGCUCUCCAGUGGGAACUUGUGUAAGGGUGAAAGGUGAAAGAAAUAUUCAUUGAAGCAAAAUAGCUGGGAUAUCAACCUUAAAUGUGAGGUAGUGCAUUCAGGAAGUGUGAUGGGGUAAAAAAUUUUGUCUCAUUUGGUUUUUUUACAGGUAGGUAAGCCUUGUAAGAGUAUUUAUGGUUUCCUUGUGAUAGUUAAGGAGUACUAGUGGGUGUGUGUAUGUGUCUGUGUGUGUGUGUGUGUCUGUGUGAGUUUUGCAAGAAAUCUUGCCACCCAUGACCGGUGGGACAGACAGGUACCCACCAAUCCUGGCACCUGAGACCCCCUGAGGUUUGUGGGACCCAUAUAUUCCCAAAUAAUAUUUCUCAAAAUUCAUAUUACCAACCAAAAAUUUAAACACACUCCAUGACUCAGCAUGCGUCCAUUAAUGAAAACAAAUGGCAUCCAAAAAAAAAAAAAAAAAUUCAAA
Long non-coding RNA from Loxodonta africana (African savanna elephant), 8649 nucleotides. RefSeq lists it as uncharacterized. The record is from RefSeq and is a predicted model, not a curated record. The transcript is spliced from 4 exons. NCBI's taxonomy places the organism in Eukaryota, Metazoa, Chordata, Mammalia, Proboscidea, Elephantidae.